This 700-nucleotide ribosomal RNA is filed under the name uncultured bacterium. Its description in RNAcentral is "bacterial SSU rRNA". It matches the Rfam family "Bacterial small subunit ribosomal RNA", at positions 695 to 1396 of the family's 1533-position model. The record is from RNAcentral.
UAUUAGAAAGAAUACCAAUUGCGAAGGCAGCUUUCUGGAUCAUUACUGACACUGAGGAACGAAAGCAUGGGUAGCGAAGAGGAUUAGAUACCCUCGUAGUCCAUGCCGUAAACGAUGUGUGUUAGACGUUGGAAAUUUAUUUUCAGUGUCGCAGCGAAAGCGAUAAACACACCGCCUGGGGAGUACGACCGCAAGGUUAAAACUCAAAUGAAUUGACGGGGACCCGCACAAGUAGUGGAGCAUGUGGUUUAAUUCGAAGAUACGCGCAGAACCUUACCAACACUUGACAUGUUCGUCGCGACUUUAAGAGAUUAAAGUUUUCGGUUCGGCCGGGCGAAACACAGGUGCUGCAUGGCUGUCGUCAGCUCGUGUCGUGAGAUGUUGGGUUAAGUCCCGCAACGAGCGCAACCCUCACUUUUAGUUGCCAUCAUUUAGUUGGGCACUCUGAAAGAACUGCCAGUGAUAAGCUGGAGGAAGGUGGGGAUGACGUCAAGUCCUCAUGGCCCUUACGUGUUGGGCUACACACGUGCUACAAUGGUAUUUACAACAGGAAGCAAGACGGCGACGUUAAGCAAAUCCUUAAAAGAUACCUCAGUUCGGAUUGCACUCUGCAACUCGAGUGCAUGAAGCUGGAAUUACUAGUAAUCGUGGAUCAGCGUGCCACGGUGAAUGCGUUCCCGGGCCUUGUACACACCGCCCA